GACGAACGCUGGCGGCGUGCUUAACACAUGCAAGUCGAACGGAAAGGCCCUGAUUUUGUGGGGUGCUCGAGUGGCGAACGGGUGAGUAACACGUGAGUAACCUGCCCUUGACUUUGGGAUAACUUCAGGAAACUGGGGCUAAUACCGGAUAGGAGCUCCUGCUGCAUGGUGGGGGUUGGAAAGUUUCGGCGGUUGGGGAUGGACUCGCGGCUUAUCAGCUUGUUGGUGGGGUAGUGGCUUACCAAGGCUUUGACGGGUAGCCGGCCUGAGAGGGUGACCGGCCACCUUGGGACUGAGAUAGGGACCAGUAUCCUACGGGACGCAGCAGUGGGGAAUCUUGCACAAUGGGCGGAAGCCUGAUGCAGCAACGCCGCGUGCGGGAUACCCGCUUACGGGUGGUAAACCGCUUUCGACGGUGACGAAGCGUAAGUGACGGUAAUGGGUAAAGAAGCACCGGCUAACUACGUG
This 468-nucleotide ribosomal RNA is filed under the name uncultured bacterium. RNAcentral's name for it is "partial 16S ribosomal RNA". It matches the Rfam family "Bacterial small subunit ribosomal RNA", at positions 28 to 507 of the family's 1533-position model. The record is from RNAcentral.